This is a non-coding RNA of Equus caballus (horse), 514 nucleotides long. NCBI's taxonomy places the organism in Eukaryota, Metazoa, Chordata, Mammalia, Perissodactyla, Equidae. The record is from the annotation of a RefSeq genome assembly.
UAACUCCCUGCCCAGCCCCAUCCCUCUUGCUUUUUGUUCCAGAAGUAGCAGAUUCCGGGGAUACUCCAAGAUGAGCUUCCAGGCCCAGCUCCUCUGUCUCCUGGUGAUGGGUUUUCAGGGAUGCAGGGGGCAGAUUAUCCUGACUCAGUCUCCAGAGACCCUGGCAGCAUCUCAGGGCAGCUUUAUCUCCAUCACCUGCAGAAGCAGCAUAGAGGUAGGUACCUCUAUGGCCUGGUACCAACAGAAACCCAAUGAAGCUCCCAGGCUCCUCAUCUUUGGGGCUUCUGCUCGGGCUGAGGGAACCCCAUCCAGGUUCCGAGGAAGUGGUUCUGGCUCUGUCUUCUCCCUCACCAUCCAUGGACUGGAACCUAAAGACUUUGGGGUGUAUUACUGCCAGCAGCACUUGAGCCGGCCUCUCACAGUGACAGAUCCCCAAACAAAAAUACCCUUUCUGGUCUAUAGACAUCUGCCCUGGUACAAAGACACCUGCUUCCUGCAGGAGGCCACAAUGUGA